GACGAACGCUGGCGGCGUGCUUAACACAUGCAAGUCGAACGGAAAGGCCCUGCUUUUGUGGGGUGCUCGAGUGGCGAACGGGUGAGUAACACGUGAGUAACCUGCCCUUGACUUUGGGAUAACUUCAGGAAACUGGGGCUAAUACCGGAUAGGAGCUCCUGCUGCAUGGUGGGGGUUGGAAAGUUUCGGCGGUUGGGGAUGGACUCGCGGCUUAUCAGCUUGUUGGUGGGGUAGUGGCUUACCAAGGCUUUGACGGGUAGCCGGCCUGAGAGGGUGACCGGCCACAUUGGGACUGGGAUAGGCACCAGACUCCGACGGGAGGAAUGGGGGGGAAUGAUUGCACAGGGGGGGGAGGCCGAAGGCAGCAACGCCGGGGGGGGGAGGACGGCUUGGGGGUUGAAACCCGCUUUCGCCGGUAACGAGGGGUGGGGGAGGGUAAUGGCUAAAGAAGCACCGGCUAACUACGGG
Molecule: ribosomal RNA, 468 nt
Filed under: uncultured bacterium
Lineage: Bacteria
Description: partial 16S ribosomal RNA
Rfam family: Bacterial small subunit ribosomal RNA
Source: RNAcentral